GCAACCGCCAGCCCCGCCGUCCUCGGCAAAUUGAUGCUUUCCCUCUCCGCAUCGACCCGCGCGGCGAAGGCGGCUGAGCUAAGGCCUCUUUUCCCGACAUAAUUGAGAGGCGCCGAGGGGCCUGGAGAGGGCUGGCUCCAAUCCCGGCAGCGAGCAGCGCACGCCGCGAGCGAUGCGGCGAUCGAUCUGUGAUCAAGGAGGCGAUGGACCGGCGAGAGCCUGGGGCCAGCAGAAAGCGUCGUGCCAGGCGUUUUCCACCUUCCGUCCUGCUGCGCUCCCCAGGCGAUCGCACAGUCCCCUCUAGUGGAUGUUUCUCCUGCAUCGACGUUGCCGCCGGAGAGGAGCCCUGCUCGACGCCCCGGGCGAAGGGCCCCAGGCUGGGCAGCAGCAAUGGCCAGGCACGAUCCCGCAUGGCACCCGGCACCACAGCUUGGGAAUGAAGGUCCCCCGACUUUCCUGGGAAACGGCAGCCCUGGUCUCCUCCCGCUGCCGAGCCAGUAUUUAUUAUACCGAGGGUCUGCAGGAAGCCGGCUGCUAGCUCAAGCCCCCCCGGCUCCAUCGCUAUGGGCACCGGCAGAGCCCCGGGGAUUGCUGCUGCGGCCGUGUCCCCAGCCUGGCAGCGAGCCCCUGCACGGGGGAAACUGCAGGACCCACACUCUGCUCCUGGAAGCUGGAUGCCGAUAAAACCCAGUGUUUAUUGCAAUAAAACCCAGUAUUUAUUGCAGUGCUCCUCAUCGGCCUUGUUCUCAUAGAUAUGUGUUUUUUU
Dromaius novaehollandiae (emu) is the source of this 766-nucleotide long non-coding RNA. RefSeq lists it as uncharacterized. The record is from RefSeq and is a predicted model, not a curated record. Lineage: Eukaryota; Metazoa; Chordata; Aves; Casuariiformes; Dromaiidae. The transcript has 3 exons.